Molecule: long non-coding RNA, 173 nt
Organism: Mus caroli (Ryukyu mouse)
Lineage: Eukaryota; Metazoa; Chordata; Mammalia; Rodentia; Muridae
Source: RefSeq, a predicted model, not a curated record
UGGGAAUUACUGUAUUCAAGAGAGGAUCAAUAUCACAGGACAAAAGUUCAUCACGUUGGGGACACCAAGGCAGGAACUCAAGCAAAGACCAUGGAGAAAUGCGGCAUACCACCUGCCAACUCUAAGCUACUGUUCCAGAAUGAUGCCUGCCUGCCUGCCUGCCUGCCUGCCCA